ACCCUUUUGUAGUUCAUAAGUGUGAUGACUGGAUGUUCAUGCCAUUGUGUGACAUGUGCCUGCCUCAACCUUGUUACAACCAUGUCACAUUACCCGUCUGACA
This is a small nucleolar RNA of Lutra lutra (Eurasian river otter), 103 nucleotides long. RefSeq annotates it as small nucleolar RNA U13. The transcript has a single exon. The record is from RefSeq and is a predicted model, not a curated record. Lineage: Eukaryota; Metazoa; Chordata; Mammalia; Carnivora; Mustelidae.